This 960-nucleotide ribosomal RNA is filed under the name Hygrobates taniguchii. RNAcentral describes it as "large subunit ribosomal RNA". The stretch from base 579 to 911 matches the Rfam family "Archaeal large subunit ribosomal RNA", at positions 2151 to 2715 of the family's 2987-position model. The record is from RNAcentral. Lineage: Eukaryota; Metazoa; Arthropoda; Arachnida; Trombidiformes; Hygrobatidae.
UACCUUUUGUAUUAGGGGUAAAAGAAUCUUUCACUUUAAGGUUCCCGAAGUCUUAGGAUCUAUUAAAAGUAAUUUUGAUUAUUGAAUUUAAUAGAAAUUUAAUAGAUGUUAUAUGCUAACGCCUUAUGAAUAUCUGGUUAUCUUGUUUAUUAAGGGGCUUAGCUCUUUUUUUUACUUUUUACUAAAGACUUUGUUAAAUUAAUAAUAGUUUUUCAAAAGUGUAUUAACUACUCUGCGCUAAUUAUACCUAAGGUUUUACUGUAACAUUAUUUAUUUGCUAAUUAUGAUUUUUAUAUUAGUAGAAAAGAAAACUUACAUAUUUUAUUAUAUUAUAAAUUUAUUUCUUUCUUUAGAAUUAAUAAAAAAUUAAAAAGAAUGUUUAUCAAAGUCUUUUCUAAGAAAUUUCUUAGAACCCUCUGCCCCAUGAAGAUUAAAUGGCCAUGGUAAUUUGACUAUGCUAAGGUAGCGAAAUCGUUAGUGUUUUUAUUGAACCCCCGUAUGAAAGAGGCCUCUUUUCAAUUUUCUUAUAGAAUCUUUUAUUGAACUUAUUUUUUAAUUGAAAAAUAGUUAAAAGUUUAAAAAAGACUAAAAGACCCUUGGAUUUUUAUAGAAAACAAAAUCUUUCUAUGUUUAUUACUCUUUGACUUUAUUUCUAUUUUCUUGGGGCAAGAUUUUAUUUAAAUUUAAUUUAAAGUAAUUUGAGAACUAAAUUUUUACUGAAAGUCAAAAUACCCAAGGGAUAACAGCGUAAUUUCUUUGGGUAGUUCUUAUAUAUAAAGCAAUUUGCGACCUCGAUGUUGGUUUGUUUUACCUAUUUGAAGCAGAAAGUAAAAAAGGAAGUCUGUUCGACUUUUAAAAAAACACAUGAACUGAGUUCAAGUCGGCGUAAGCCAGACUGGAUUUUAUCUUUUUAUUAUAAAUGCCUUCUUAGUACGAGAGGACCAAAAGGCUUUCUUAAAG